AUUGAACGCUGGCGGCAUGCCUUACACAUGCAAGUCGAACGGCAGCACGGGUGCUUGCCCCUGGUGGCGAGUGGCGAACGGGUGAGUAAUACAUCGGAACACGUCCCGUAGUGGGGGAUAGCCCGGCGAAAGCCGGAUUCCUACCGCAUACGAUCUACGGCAGGAAGCGGGGGCAAUGCGCGCGUCGCGCUCUCGGGUGAGUCGUUGGCGGAGUAGGUAGUUGGGGGGGGAUAGGCCUACCAAGGUGACGCGGAGUAUGUGAUCUGGGAGGAAGAGCAGCCACACUGGGACUGAGACACGGCCCAGACUCCUACGGUAGGCAGCAGUGGGGAAUGUUGGACAAUGGGCGAAAGCCUGAUCCAGCAAUGCCGCGUGUGUGAAGAAGGCCUUCGGGUUGUAAAGCACUUUUGUCCGGAAAGAAAUCCUUGGCCCUAAUACGGUCGGGGGAUGACGGUACCGGAAGAAUAAGCACCGGCUAACUACGUG
This 486-nucleotide ribosomal RNA is filed under the name uncultured bacterium. Its description in RNAcentral is "partial 16S ribosomal RNA". It matches the Rfam family "Bacterial small subunit ribosomal RNA", at positions 28 to 507 of the family's 1533-position model. The record is from RNAcentral.